This is a long non-coding RNA of Daphnia pulicaria, 710 nucleotides long. RefSeq lists it as uncharacterized. NCBI's taxonomy places the organism in Eukaryota, Metazoa, Arthropoda, Branchiopoda, Diplostraca, Daphniidae. The record is from RefSeq and is a predicted model, not a curated record. The transcript is spliced from 4 exons.
ACAUACUAGCUGAAAGCCUGAAAUUAGUUAGGUUCACAAUUUAGAGUUUACUCACGUUCCCGUAUUCUGAUUAAAGACAUCUACGUUUGAAAUAAAUUACUGAGUUUUGUAUCGUUGGUUACCUUGGAACUCCAUAUCAAUGGCAGAAAAUAUUUUAAGUUUAGCUGAGAAAGCAUUCAUUCAUCAUGGAGUCCAGGAUGAUCAUUUUACGAAGUGAUGGUAGAUCAAUGCUGGAUUAUUGCCCUAUAAUUCUUGAAAGUUGAAACUAGAUAAGUUUCAAAUGCCAGUGGAUCGGCAAGGCUGAGACUUGCAAUUACUCUGAUAUUCUUGUUGGAGUCAAAGUAGACAUAACUUUUAUCUGAUAAGCCCAAAGAACGAAGGCUGGAGUUCUAUUUCUAUGUGGAUGGCUCUACUAAUGCAACACCAGAAUUUAAAGGAAGAGGCGAAUAAAAUCUGGAGAAUGAAAUUUGUAAAUUCCUACAAAGAUCUUAUGCUUCAGAUUCUUGAAUGUGGAGGGAACCCUUAUGAUGCAGUGUCAUAGCUGAGAAAUCGGCUCUUUAUGCAACCCAAAUUCCAUUAAAAUAGCAACCAUGGACGGAUAUCAACCUGAUCUUGAGUUCUCAGAUGAUCCCACACAGCACAUUUGGUUCCUUGGGACCUCCUUAGAUCCUCUUAGUUUUCUCCCCAGUCUUUCCUAUUGAGUCCCUAGA